This 257-nucleotide ribosomal RNA is filed under the name uncultured bacterium. RNAcentral describes it as "partial 16S ribosomal RNA". It matches the Rfam family "Bacterial small subunit ribosomal RNA", at positions 96 to 354 of the family's 1533-position model. The record is from RNAcentral.
UGGCGACGGGUGAGUAACGCGUGGGUAACCUGCCCCAUACCGGGGGAUACCACCUGGAAACAGGUGCUGAUACCGCAUAAGCGCACGGGAGCGCAUGCUCCUGUGUGAAAAACUCCGGUGGUAUGGGAUGGACCCGCGUCUGAUUAGCCAGUUGGCAGGGUAACGGCCUACCAAAGCGACGAUCAGUAGCCGGCCUGAGAGGGUGGACGGCCACAUUGGGACUGAGACACGGCCCAAACUCCUACGGAAGGCAGCAG